UGGUCCUACGGGGGGCAGCAGUGAGGAAUAUCGGUCAAUGGGCGAGAGCCUGAACCAGCCAAGUCGCGUGAGGGAAGACGGUCCUAUGGAUUGUAAACCUCUUUUGCCGGGGAGCAAAAAGCGGUACGUGUACCGCAUCGAGAGUACCCGGAGAAAAAGCAUCGGCUAACUACGUGCCAGCAGCCGCGGUAAUACGUAGGUGGCAAGCGUUGUCCGGAUUUAUUGGGCGUAAAGCGAGUGCAGGCGGGUCAAUAAAUCUGAU
This 262-nucleotide ribosomal RNA is filed under the name uncultured bacterium. RNAcentral describes it as "partial 16S ribosomal RNA". It matches the Rfam family "Bacterial small subunit ribosomal RNA", at positions 334 to 593 of the family's 1533-position model. The record is from RNAcentral.